AAAUGAAUUAAUUGUAAUUUGACCAACAUUCUCUCCAUAUUUAACAAUGAUUUGGAUUUGCUUGGGGAGUACUCUAGCGCAUUUGGUGCUACUCAAUGUUAGAACAUAACAUCAUUGUAGUCAUCCCUUUUCCUUGGAAUUUCUUGUAUUCCGACAUUGUCAAAUCCAAAUAUGGCGUUGAAGCUAUUAAUGUCCAUCUCCCUAUCGACUCCCAUUAACCUAAAAGUAAGUUUUUCUCUAUUUUCCCUAUUUGUUGGCCAUAGUGUCAUCUUGAAACCUCCUAAGAACUCAAGGGUUAGGUCUCUAUAGGUUGGAAAUUUAAAUGUUACAAAUUUGGUCCAUCCUAUAUUGAUAAGAAAUGUGUCUACAUCAUUCUUUAACGCUGUUUGUUCUAAAAUUCCUUCAUCCAAGUACUUUGUGCAUAUUACCUUUCCUUUUUUGGAGAGAGGGAGGUGUAAAGUACUCUGUGGGCAUCAUCUUGGGAUGGCCAUGCCAGUGCUAAUGGUGGUGCGAUAGGGGCAAGUGGUGCUUCCCUUGGUGGCUGGGACGGAGAGGCAACUGAAGGGUGUAGGUUUGUUGUGAUUGCGGUGUUUGGUAUCGCUAGGUAGGCGGUGAGUUGUGCGCUGUCCUUCGCUAGGAGGAAGCUCGUCUUGCAGGUCUCUUCCUGGGUCCCAUUGUAUCGUGAUUUAGGGUUAGGAAUUAGGGAUUUUAGGGAAAAGGAGAGAAAUUGGGGAGGUUGGUUGGCUUUUGGAUUAUGUGCGAUGUAGAGGGAGUUGGAAGUUUCUAAUGAAGUUGGAGAGAAUCACGUGAAGAAGGGUUUUAAAAUAGUUGUCGUUUCGGGUUACAUGGGUCAUGUAUCAGUAUAUGGGUCAGACUCGUGUAACUUGCUAUUGUGUGAAAGUGGAGUGCAAUUUGAUAUAACACUGGUUUUUUAGCAUUGCACGAGUAUGAGUAUCAUUACAUGGGUCAGACUCGUGCAACUUACUGGAAUUUGUAAUUUUGCAUUUUUUUCUUUGUAUGGGUUCCAUGUGUUACACGGGUCAUGUAACAUUAUGCGGGGGAGACCCGUGUAACCUAUUAUUUUCUUCUUUUCUUAUUUGCACAUUUUUUUUUAAGUUGUGUGCUAGUUAAACCCAUUUGACCCUUUGUAGAAAUUAGACCAGGAUCUGCAUAUGACCCUUGUUGCAUUCCUAACUUUUGUGUUUUCUAUGAAUUUAGCACAGGUAACUCUAUUAAGAGUGUCAAAACAACAAUCAUCAUCUUUUCUUAACCUAUAUUGUAAUUUGCAUAAUAAUGUUCACAUGAUAAAAUGGAGUUAAGAAAGCGUCCCUUUUCAUAGGUCGUUGUCCUUGUGAUUUUCAUGCUUGGCUUAUCCAACUCUUGUUCUCGAUCUUGCUGCUUUUGUCUUGUCAUUGGAAUUGAACUUGGGGGUUUAGAAAGAAGAA
RNAcentral lists this unclassified non-coding RNA (1445 nucleotides) under Hevea brasiliensis (rubber tree). Lineage: Eukaryota; Viridiplantae; Streptophyta; Magnoliopsida; Malpighiales; Euphorbiaceae. The record is from RNAcentral.